This 406-nucleotide ribosomal RNA is filed under the name uncultured bacterium. RNAcentral describes it as "partial 16S ribosomal RNA". It matches the Rfam family "Bacterial small subunit ribosomal RNA", at positions 30 to 526 of the family's 1533-position model. The record is from RNAcentral.
AUUGAACGCUGGCGGCAGGCUUAACACAUGCAAGUCGAACGAGUGGCGGACGGGUGAGUAAUGUCUGGGAAACUGCCUGAUGGAGGGGGAUAACUACGGGAAACGGUAGCUAAUACCGCAUACCAUCGGAUGAGCCCAGAUGGGAUUAGGUAGUGGGUGGGGUAACGGCUCACCAAGGCGACGAUCCCUAGCUGGUCUGAGAGGAUGACCAGCCACACUGGGACUGAGACACGGCCCAGACUCCUACGGGAGGCAGCAGUGGGGAAUAUUGCGCAAUGGGCGCAAGCCUGAUGCAGCCAUGCCGCGUGUAUGAAGAAGGCCUUCGGGUUGUAAAGUACUUUCAGCAGGGAGGCGUUAACCGCAGAAGAAGCACCGGCUAACUCCGUGCCAGCAGCCGCGGUAAUUC